UUUUACUGUUGCUUCUGAGUCUGCAUUUAGCACUAGUGGUAGGUUGGUGAGCCCGUAUCGAAGUAGACUUCAUCCAGAUACUUUGGAAGCAUUGAUGUGUGCACAGAGUUGGUUAUGGGCUAUAGAGAUGCAAGGAAAUUCAACAUUAGAAUCAGUUGGUUACGCCACUAUAUAUGAUGAUAUGGAUGUGAAUCAGAGUUGAUCUUUCUUUUGCAUUGGGUUUUGUUGCUGGAGGGUUGCUGCUGUUGGAAUGUUGCUGUUACUGGAGUGUUGCUACUGUAAGAAACUUGUAAAGACUUAAAGUUGAAAUGUCAAAGAAUGCACUUUGUUGAGUUGGGAGCUGAAAUGUCAAAGAAUGUGCAUCGGGAGUUUAAUGUGUUUUGCUUCUAGUUGAAUUAAGCCUUACUAUGAACAUCUAACUACUUUAAUUAUUCUGUGCAAUUCAUUUAUGAUGUUUAGAAUUACACUGAUAGAUACUUUAACGUACAUGUGUAUUUAGAGUGAAGUUAUUCAUAUGUGGGUUUUGGUUGGCAAAGAGUUUUUUGACAUUAUUUUA
Camellia sinensis is the source of this 556-nucleotide non-coding RNA. The record is from RefSeq and is a predicted model, not a curated record. NCBI's taxonomy places the organism in Eukaryota, Viridiplantae, Streptophyta, Magnoliopsida, Ericales, Theaceae.